GAUGAACGCUGACAGAAUGCUUAACACAUGCAAGUCAACUUGAAUUUGGGUUUUUAACUUAGGUUUGGGUGGCGGACGGGUGAGUAACGCGUAAAGAACUUGCCUCACAGCUAGGGACAACAUUUGGAAACGAAUGCUAAUACCUAAUAUUAUGAUAAUAGGGCAUCCUAUAAUUAUGAAAGCUAUAAGCGCUGUGAGAGAGCUAUGCGUCCCAUUAGCUAGUUGGAGAGGUAACGGCUCACCAAGGCGAUGAUGGGUAGCCGGCCUGAGAGGGUGAUCGGCCACAAGGGGACUGAGACACGGCCCUUACUCCUACGGGAGGCAGCAGUGGGGAAUAUUGGACAAUGGACCGAGAGUCUGAUCCAGCAAUUCUGUGUGCACGAUGAAGUUUUUCGGAAUGUAAAGUGCUUUCAGUUGGGAAGAAAAAAAUGACGGUACCAACAGAAGAAGUGACGGCUAAAUACGUGCCAGCAGCCGCGGUAAUACGUAUGUCACGAGCGUUAUCCGGAUUUAUUGGGCGUAAAGCGCGUCUAGGUGGUUAUAUAAGUCUGAUGUGAAAAUGCAGGGCUCAACUCUGUAUUGCGUUGGAAACUGUAUAACUAGAGUACUGGAGAGGUAAGCGGAACUACAAGUGUAGAGGUGAAAUUCGUAGAUAUUUGUAGGAAUGCCGAUGGGGAAGCCAGCUUACUGGACAGAUACUGACGCUGAAGCGCGAAAGCGUGGGUAGCAAACAGG
This 735-nucleotide ribosomal RNA is filed under the name uncultured Fusobacterium sp. Its description in RNAcentral is "bacterial SSU rRNA". It matches the Rfam family "Bacterial small subunit ribosomal RNA", at positions 28 to 776 of the family's 1533-position model. The record is from RNAcentral. Lineage: Bacteria; Fusobacteriati; Fusobacteriota; Fusobacteriia; Fusobacteriales; Fusobacteriaceae.